AGCGGUGAAAUGCGCAGAUAUCGGGAGGAACACCGGUGGCGAAGGCGGUUCUCUGGGCCUUGCCUGACGCUGAGGAGCGAAAGCGUGGGGAGCGAACAGGAUUAGAUACCCUGGUAGUCCAUGCUGUAAACGUUGGGCGCUAGGUGUGGGGUCUUUCCACGGAUUCCGUGCCGUAGCUAACGCAUUAAGCGCCCCGCCUGGGGAGUACGGCCGCAAGGCUAAAACUCAAAGGAAUUGACGGGGGCCCGCACAAGCGGCGGAGCAUGUUGCUUAAUUCGACGCAACGCGAAGAACCUUACCAAGGUUUGACAUCACCCGAAAACCGGCGGAGACGUCGGGUCCUUUUGGGGCGGGUGACAGGUGGUGCAUGACUGUCGUCAGCUCGUGUCGUGAGAUGUUGGGUUAAGUCCCGCAACGAGCGCAACCCUUGUUCCAUGUUGCCAGCGGCGCCUUUUUGGUGGCUGGGGACUCAUGGGAGACUGCCGGGGUCAACUCGGAGGAAGGUGGGGAUGACGUCAAGUCAUCAUGCCCCUUAUGUCUUGGGCUGCAAACAUGCUACAAUGGCUGGUACAGAGGGCUGCGAUGCCGUGAGGUGGAGCGAAUCCCUAAAAGCCGGUCUCAGUUCGGAUUGGGGUCUGCAACUCGACCCUAUGAAGUCGGAGUCGCUAGUAAUCGCAGAUCAGCAUUGCUGCGGUGAAUACGUUCCCGGGCCUUGUACACACCGCCCGUCACGUCAUGAAAGUCGGUAACACCCGAAGCCCAUGGCCUAA
This 770-nucleotide ribosomal RNA is filed under the name uncultured actinomycete. RNAcentral's name for it is "bacterial SSU rRNA". It matches the Rfam family "Bacterial small subunit ribosomal RNA", at positions 677 to 1438 of the family's 1533-position model. The record is from RNAcentral. Lineage: Bacteria; Bacillati; Actinomycetota; Actinomycetes; Actinomycetales.